CAUGCAAGUCGAACGCUAUCUUUGACAGAGUGGCGCACGGGUGAGUAACACGUGGGAAUCUGCCCUUUUGUUCGGGACAACAGUUGGAAACGACUGCUAAUACCGGAUACGCCCUUCGGGGGAAAGGUCCGCCGCAGAAGGAGGAGCCCGCGUCCGAUUAGCUUGUUGGUAGGGUAAUGGCCUACCAAGGCAACGAUCGGUAGCUGGUCUGAGAGGAUGAUCAGCCACACUGGGACUGAGACACGGCCCAGACUCCUACGGGAGGCAGCAGUGGGGAAUAUUGGACAAUGGGGGCAACCCUGAUCCAGCAAUGCCGCGUGUGUGAUGAAGGCCUUAGGGUUGUAAAGCACUUUCACUGGUGAAGAUGACGACGGUAACCAGAGAAGAAGCCCCGGCUAACCUCGUGCCAGCAGCCGCGGUAAUACGAAGGGGGCGAGCGUUGUUCGGAAUUACUGGGCGUAAAGGGAGCGCAGGCGGUUCAUUUAGUUAGGCGUGAAAGCCCCGGGCUCAACCUGGGAACUGCGCUUAAUACUGAUGAACUAGAAAACAGAAGAGGGUAGUGGAAUUCCCAGUGUAGAGGUGAAAUUCGUAGAUAUUGGGAAGAACACCGGUGGCGAAAGCGGCUACCUGGUCUGAUUUUGACGCUGAGGCUCGAAAGCGUGGGGAGCAAGCAGGAUUAGAUACCCUGGUAGUCCACGCCGUAAACGAUGACAGCUAGGUGUCGGGGGGUCGCCCCUCGGUGCCGCCGCUAACGCAUUAAGCUGUCCGCCUGGGAAGUACGGUCGCAAGAUUAAAACUCAAAGGAAUUGAC
This 811-nucleotide ribosomal RNA is filed under the name uncultured marine bacterium. Its description in RNAcentral is "bacterial SSU rRNA". It matches the Rfam family "Bacterial small subunit ribosomal RNA", at positions 54 to 914 of the family's 1533-position model. The record is from RNAcentral.